RNAcentral lists this ribosomal RNA (516 nucleotides) under uncultured bacterium. RNAcentral's name for it is "bacterial SSU rRNA". It matches the Rfam family "Bacterial small subunit ribosomal RNA", at positions 195 to 728 of the family's 1533-position model. The record is from RNAcentral.
AGACAAGUCGGGAAAGUUUUUCGCUAAGGGAUCAGUCUAUGUUCCAUCAGCUUGUUGGUGAGGUAAUGGCUCACCAAGGCUAUGACGGAUAUCUGGUUUGAGAGGAUGAUCAGACACACUGGAACUGAGACACGGUCCAGACUCCUACGGGAGGCAGCAGUGAGGAAUAUUGCACAAUGGAGGAAACUCUGAUGCAGCAACGCCGCGUGGAGGAUGACGCAUUUCGGUGUGUAAACUCCUUUUAUUAGGGAAGAUAAUGACGGUACCUAAUGAAUAAGCACCGGCUAACUCCGUGCCAGCAGCCGCGGUAAUACGGAGGGUGCAAGCGUUACUCGGAAUCACUGGGCGUAAAGGGUGCGUAGGCUGGCUUUUAAGUCAGAUGUGAAAUCCAAUGGCUCAACCAUUGAACUGCAUUUGAAACUGAAAGCCUAGAGUUCAGAAGGGGCAGAUGGAAUUAGUGGUGUAGGGGUAAAAUCCGUAGAUAUCACUAGGAAUAUCAAAAGCGAAGGCGAUCUG